Molecule: long non-coding RNA, 2280 nt
Organism: Lytechinus pictus (painted urchin)
Lineage: Eukaryota; Metazoa; Echinodermata; Echinoidea; Temnopleuroida; Toxopneustidae
Exons: 3
Source: RefSeq, a predicted model, not a curated record
AUUCUAUGAUAGAUCAAUGUUAUUCAUGGUCAUGCUACACGGAGAACCCUCUUAUAAUGUACCCCAUGUUCUGCCUUUACCACGUCUACCAUUCUCUCUUUAUUAGAAAUGUAAUCAUGGUAAUAGGAAUGUAAAGCCGAUCGUUCCCUGUAUAGCACUUCAAUGCGAUGUAAAAAUAGUGCCCUAUAAUGGGAUAAUGAUAGAAGAUUGCUUUGAAGAACAUCCCAUUCGUUUGUCUAUGAAGGUUGGUGCCUUGAUAUUGAAACCUACGUAGGUUGCACGAGUAACUGGAAGAUAGAACUUGGAGGGGAUCGAACUCUUUUGAUCAAGCAAUGGAUAUUUUUGGAGAAGAUGCGAGCACACUUAUCUGGAAGUAUGGCGGUAUGACUUCUGCGGCACUUGGUGCCAUCACAACUCUAACAUUGAUUGUAUUAAAUGCACUAUCAGACGGAGAAUCAAGAAGGCGGUACGAACAUCCACAUGGUGACGAAGAUUCUAAAAACCAUCACGGAGCAAUUGGGAAUGACGAUCGACGACCAAGUCAAUCUAGUAGCACCUCCAGUGACAAUAAUGCGAAAAAUGGCGAUGACAUGGAAAGAGAUCUCGAUGAUAACGAGGUCGUUGACGAUGUUGAUGGGGAAUUUGACAGAGGCAAAAUAAAUCAUUACGAGCAUUCGAAUGGAGCAGAGGUUGGUUCUACGAAUCAACUGAAUAAAAGAAGUUUGAAGAAGAAAUUGUAUUCGAAAUGACUUUUCGGCCACAUUGAAUCGAACUGGGUUUCCAUUUACAUUUUGUUAGGAUUUAGGAAUUUACACUUGUGAAAAGGGUUAAGAAUAUCGUUUAGACAGGAUUGAUGUUCAAAACUAUUUUAUCCAUCAGGUUGAUAACAUUACAAGGAAGAAAACGACAAAAAGUAUUUCAUACUCUGAAGUUGAAAGGGCUUGCACGUCUUGGAAAAUAUUGUUAACAUCCCAAUGGAAAAGGGGCACUUUACGAACGCUAUAACGAGGAUGUACCAUUAUAAUAAUAGUUUGUUCGAAAUCUGAAAAAUUGGUAUGGUUUAGCAACUUUAUUAAUAUAAUGAUAUUCAUACCCAUACUUAGUUAUAUUUUGUUUCAACAAUAAUACAGAUACAGUUCAUAUAUUGAAUAAGACACAACAAGAGAGCCCAGCCUAUAGGGUCACACCCCUGACGCAAGCAGGGCAUAUUAAAUUACCGGACCUGGUGGCUCAGUGGUAGAGCGUCCGCCUCAUGAACGAGAGGUCGUGGGUUCGAUCCUCGGCCGAGUCAUACCAAAGAGUUGUAAAAAUGGGACCUUCUGCCUUCUUGCUAGGCGCUCAGCAUUUACAUUGGAGAAGGGUAAUAAUAACAUAUAAUGUUAUGCAGGGCUUGCUGGUAGAACAGUUUCCUCACUGAAGUGGCUACCCUGGGUAAAUAAAACGUUAUUAUUAUUAUUAUAUUAACAUAAUGAAAUAGUGAGCAAUAUGAAUUUCUAAUAGUAACGAACCUGCGAUGCCACAAUAAACCUGUAGAGGUUUUAAAUGGGAAUCCAACCCAAAUAUAAACCUGUUUUAGAGGCAAAAGAUUAAGCAGACAAGUUGAUAGGUAAAAGUUUGAACAAUAUCGGACAAACAAUGCUAAAGUUAUGAAUUUUUAAAAGAUGUAAAUAUUGGUAAUUGAUACAAGGCUGGUUCCCUUUUAAUUAAGUUUAAUUACUCAUCCAGGUCAGAACCAAGUUUUAGCCUCGGUAUAGAUUAGGCCUAAGGCCAGAUUUCUGAUACUGCUGAAUUAAUUGUCUUUACCGCGUGGUCAGGAUGAGCAAAGGCUAAUUAAUAAGUCACUAAUUGUCAGAGACAAUGAGAGACACGGUGAACGCUACUGUCUAUUUGGACGUACUGAUUAAAGACAUACUUAUGUUUCUGGUAUAAUCCAUGGAUGUAACUGUAAGUAAAUUGAAAAUGGGAACAAAAAAUGCCGGGGCAAAAUGGGGGGGGGGGGUAUACAAAGCGCCAUCCCCCUAAUGAAUAGAAAGCGCGAGCGGAUCUUCGGCCAUGGUCGGAUACCUCAGAUUGAAAGGAUCACGGUUCUUCUGAAAAGGAAAGGAAGUGGGAUUGUUGGAGGAUAUAAUAGCGGAUAUUUUGUAGAGGGAUAUUGAAGAAGGUAAAGUAUAUUAUUAUGUUCAGUGAUAGGAAUGCUUUUACUUACACAUGUAUGUAUAUAUGGACCUGCACUACAAGGAAAAAGAGCAUAGUUUUUCUAUGAAAUAAAUAACAGUAUGU